RNAcentral lists this ribosomal RNA (303 nucleotides) under uncultured bacterium. RNAcentral describes it as "partial 16S ribosomal RNA". It matches the Rfam family "Bacterial small subunit ribosomal RNA", at positions 507 to 807 of the family's 1533-position model. The record is from RNAcentral.
AGCAGCAGCCGCGGUAAUACCGAGGGUGCAAGCGUUAAUCGGAAUUACUGGGCGUAAAGCGCGCGUAGGUGGUUUGUUAAGUUGGAUGUGAAAGCCCCGGGCUCAACCUGGGAACUGCAUCCAAAACUGGCAAGCUAGAGUACGGUAGAGGGUGGUGGAAUUUCCUGUGUAGCGGUGAAAUGCGUAGAUAUAGGAAGGAACACCAGUGGCGAAGGCGACCACCUGGACUGAUACUGACACUGAGGUGCGAAAGCGUGGGGAGCAAACAGGAUUAGAUACCCCAGUAGUCCCUGUCUCUUAUAC